CAUUAUUGAAUAUAAAUGUUGCAUAAUGUAAAUGAAUUGAAUAUGAAUAAAUACAAUGUGGUUAAUUUGGCCUGUUUCCAAAUUUUCUGUUUUUGCUUUGCUGUUCUCUCUAUUCAGGGACCAACAUCAUACUGCUUUAAUGAUAGAAACUGUGAUGGUAAGUCAUAAGGGGCUUUCCCUCCCUGGCUCCCCAUGCACACUUCAUUCAGACUGACACCAGCUAUAACAGG
Molecule: long non-coding RNA, 230 nt
Filed under: Bos taurus (domestic cattle)
Lineage: Eukaryota; Metazoa; Chordata; Mammalia; Artiodactyla; Bovidae
Description: long non-coding RNA NONBTAT020383
Source: RNAcentral